Long non-coding RNA from Myotis brandtii (Brandt's bat), 378 nucleotides. RefSeq lists it as uncharacterized. The transcript is spliced from 2 exons. The record is from RefSeq and is a predicted model, not a curated record. Lineage: Eukaryota; Metazoa; Chordata; Mammalia; Chiroptera; Vespertilionidae.
UGAGGCACAUGGUCGCCCCCUAUUGCCCGGGCUUUUCAGGGCACUGGGAUUACAACUGUCUGCCAUGCGAUCCUCACCAAGAAUUCUACCCAGAAAAUAAAACAACCCCUCCCCAAAAAAAGAACCAUGCACAAACACAGCAUGGCGGGGUUCUGCACCUCCCCCGUCCCCAGCCCUGCAAAGGAAGGCCCCCGGAACUGCUGGGCAGAGGUUCCCUAUAAGGUGACCCAGCCACCCUGCCUGAUAUGACCGUUGGAGACAUUUUUAACAAACACAGGGAAAGGUGUAGCUGUUUUAUCAGUGCCUAAUUCCAAACUUCCUGUGGCAUACGGAUAAUUUAUUUUAGAUCCUACGCAGGAAUAAAACAUGUAGAACAUA